AGAGUUUGAUCCUGGCUCAGAUUGAACGCUGGCGGCAUGCUUUACACAUGCGAGUCGAACGGCAGCACGAGUGCUUGCACUUGGUGGCGAGUGGCGAACGGGUGAGUAAUGCAUCGGAACGUGUCUUAAAGUGGGGGAUAACGCAUCGAAAGAUGUGCUAAUACCGCAUAUACUCUGAGGAGGAAAGUAGGGGAUCGAAAGACCUUAUGCUUUGAGAGCGGCCGAUGUCUGAUUAGCUAGUUGGUAAGGUAAAGGCUUACCAAGGCGACGAUCAGUAGUUGGUCUGAGAGGACGACCAGCCACACUGGGACUGAGACACGGCCCAGACUCCUACGGGAGGCAGCAGUGGGGAAUUUUGGACAAUGGGCGAAAGCCUGAUCCAGCAAUGCCGCGUGAGUGAAGAAGGCCUUCGGGUUGUAAAGCUCUUUCAGUCGAGAAGAAAAAAUUAUGAUUAAUAAUUAUAAUUGAUGACGGUAUCGACAGAAGAAGCACCGGCUAACUACGUGCCAGCAGCCGCGGUAAUACGUAGGGUGCGAGCGUUAAUCGGAAUUACUGGGCGUAAAGGGUGCGCAGGCAGUUUUGUAAGUCAGAUGUGAAAUCCCCGGGC
RNAcentral lists this ribosomal RNA (607 nucleotides) under uncultured bacterium. RNAcentral's name for it is "bacterial SSU rRNA". It matches the Rfam family "Bacterial small subunit ribosomal RNA", at positions 8 to 608 of the family's 1533-position model. The record is from RNAcentral.